GCUGGGCGUGGUGGCUCACGCCUGUAAUCCCAGCACUUUGGGAGGCCAAGGUGGGUGGAUCACCUGAGGUCAGGAGUUCGAUACCAGCCUGGCCAACAUGGUGAAACCCCAUCUCUA
Pongo abelii (Sumatran orangutan) is the source of this 117-nucleotide unclassified non-coding RNA. It matches the Rfam family "Metazoan signal recognition particle RNA". Rfam says of the family: The signal recognition particle (SRP) is a universally conserved ribonucleoprotein. It is involved in the co-translational targeting of proteins to membranes. The eukaryotic SRP consists of a 300-nucleotide 7S RNA and six proteins: SRPs 72, 68, 54, 19, 14, and 9. NCBI's taxonomy places the organism in Eukaryota, Metazoa, Chordata, Mammalia, Primates, Hominidae. The record is from Ensembl.